This 406-nucleotide ribosomal RNA is filed under the name uncultured bacterium. RNAcentral describes it as "partial 16S ribosomal RNA". It matches the Rfam family "Bacterial small subunit ribosomal RNA", at positions 30 to 526 of the family's 1533-position model. The record is from RNAcentral.
AUUGAACGCUGGCGGCAGGCCUAACACAUGCAAGUCGAACGAGUGGCGGACGGGUGAGUAAUGUCUGGGAAACUGCCCGAUGGAGGGGGAUAACUCCUGGAAACGGUAGCUAAUACCGCAUACCAUCGGAUGUGCCCCGAUGGGAUUAGCUGGUAGGUGGGGUAACGGCUCACCAAGGCGACGAUCCCUAGCUGGUCUGAGAGGAUGACCAGCCACACUGGAACUGAGACACGGUCCAUAAGCCUACGGGAGGCAGCAGUGGGGAAUAUUGCACAAUGGGCGCAAGCCUGAUGCAGCCAUGCCGCGUGUAUGAAGAAGGCCUUCGGGUUGUAAAGUACUUUCAGCGAGGAGGCGUUACCCGCAGAAGAAGCACCGGCUAACUCCGUGCCAGCAGCCGCGGUAAUAC